This is a non-coding RNA of Varanus komodoensis (Komodo dragon), 775 nucleotides long. NCBI's taxonomy places the organism in Eukaryota, Metazoa, Chordata, Lepidosauria, Squamata, Varanidae. The record is from the annotation of a RefSeq genome assembly.
CAGCCCUGCCUGGUUUCUUUUCUUUUCUUUCCACAGGUCAGCUUCGGAUUUCACCAUGUUGUGGACGUGUUUUGUUAGCUUGUUGGUGAUUUGGUGCACAGGUUCACAUUGCCUGCCUACACUGACUCAACCACCAUCCGCAUCAGUGGGACAAGGGAAUACAGUGAAACUUUCCUGUAGCUCAAGCCCAGACGCCAGCAUUGGUAGCUAUUGGGUCUCCUGGUACCAGCAGAAGCCUGGUGGCUCCCCACGGUACCUCCUGGCAUACUACUCUGAUAGCAGCAAGAACCAAGGCUCGGGGGUCCCUGCGCGGUUCUCCGGCUCCAAAGACACCUCCACAAAUAGUGGAAUUCUGACCAUCUCUGGAGUCCUGGCAGAGGACGAGGCUGGUUAUUACUGUGCAAUGUACUAUGGCAAUGGCAUUUUCCACAGUGCAAACGCAGAGGCUGUGCUGACCCAACCGGCGUCCCUCGCAGCAGCACCAGGGAGCACAGUGAGAAUCUCCUGUGCCAUGAGCAGCGUUUCCAGCAUCAGUGACAAGUAUGUAGCUUGGUACCAGCAGAAGCCUGGCAGUGCCCCACGUUACCUCUUGUGGUAUUACUCAGACUCCAACAAGCACCAAGGCUCGGGGGUCCCUGCUUGGUUCUCUGGCUCCAAGGACAACUCCAAGAACACUGGGUACUUGACCAUCUCGGGAGUCCUGGCAGAAGACGAGGCUGAUUAUUACUGUGCUGUCUGGCACAGCAGUGCUUUCCACAGUGAUGCUUUCUCAUAG